AUUGAACGCUGGCGGCAUGCUUUACACAUGCCAGUCGAACGGCAGCGCGGGCUUCGGCCUGGCGGCGAGUGGCGAACGGGUGAGUAAUGCAUCGGAACGUGCCCAGUAGUGGGGGAUAGCCCGGCGAAAGCCGGAUUAAUACCGCAUACGACCUGAGGGUGAAAGCGGGGGACCGAAAGGCCUCGCGCUAUUGGAGCGGCCGAUGUCGGAUUAGCUAGUUGGUGGGGUAAAGGCUUACCAAGGCGACGAUCCGUAGCUGGUCUGAGAGGACGACCAGCCACACUGGGACUGAGACACGGCCCAGACUCCUACGGGAGGCAGCAGUGGGGAAUUUUGGACAAUGGGGGCAACCCUGAUCCAGCCAUGCCGCGUGCGGGAAGAAGGCCUUCGGGUUGUAAACCGCUUUUGUUCGGGAAGAAAUCCUCUGGGCUAAUACCCCGGGGGGAUGACGGUACCGGAAGAAUAAGCACCGGCUAACUACG
This 482-nucleotide ribosomal RNA is filed under the name uncultured bacterium. RNAcentral's name for it is "partial 16S ribosomal RNA". It matches the Rfam family "Bacterial small subunit ribosomal RNA", at positions 28 to 505 of the family's 1533-position model. The record is from RNAcentral.